Malus domestica (apple) is the source of this 643-nucleotide RNA transcript. RefSeq lists it as uncharacterized. The record is from RefSeq and is a predicted model, not a curated record. NCBI's taxonomy places the organism in Eukaryota, Viridiplantae, Streptophyta, Magnoliopsida, Rosales, Rosaceae.
GCACGUGACAUAAAUACCGAAAUGGCACCGCUAACUCAAAUGAGAGCCCAUAAAAUUUGCAGAAAGCCCAAAGAAGCAAAAUCCACAACAGAAGAAAACCUUCUUCCAAGCCCGCAACCAUCGCAAGCCUAUUGGAUCUAUUAACCGGUUCACUGACCCGUCCGACUCAACGCAUUUACAAGUCGAUGGAUCCACGCCCACCGUCUGGGCGCCGCUUGAAACUUUCCCGAGAAAAUCAAGGAAAGAAAGCGAGAGAAAGAGAGGGAAAAUGGCAGGGAAUACUUGGGCCUACGUCCGGAUCAUCUCCGGCACCAUUCUCGGUGGCAUUCUCGGCUUCUACGUCAUGGACCGCGCCGAGAAAAGCUACAAGGAGAAAGUGCGGGAGAGGCUGAGAAAGUAUGAAAUUGAAAUGAAGAAGAGAGAGAAAUUGGACGAGGUUGAAGAGUCUCUGUAGAUUUUUUUGAAAGGAGUGCUAUAUUCAUCGAAGAUUGAAAUACGUACAACCUGAGGAUAAGGUGAUUAGCUUCGCUGUUUUUGUUCUUUUUAAUUUUUGCUCCUGUUUUUUGUUGAGAAAUUGAAAAUUUUGAACCACAUUUUUAAGAGUUGGUGUUACGUUUGUAUGAGAAAUUUUUUGUUUUGUGUC